UACACACGUGUUAGGAUCAAAUUCUUAUCUUAAGAUUACACUUUUUUUGGUUAACAGUGGUUAACUGUGUGUGUGUGAUCAUGAUCUCAUCCAUGAUGAAAUGUCAAGUUUAGAAAAAUGUGUUUUAUGUGGACUUUUUUCACCUCUAAAAUGGAGUGGUGUGUGAUGUAAAGGUAAUUUUUUGAGAAUGGGAAUUGGGUUCAUCUUUUGAAUAUGAUCCCACAGGAACACUUCUAAAAAGUGUUCCAUGUGUAGCUGUGCUGUAUGUUGAAAUUGAGUCAUAGUGUGGCACUGACUUUUUAAAUAUUUAUCAUGCUACCGCCCUUUGUCAAUUCUUAUUUUUCUCUGUCUAGUUUGCAACCAGUCCUGGCACAAAAAUGUUAUCGUAAAUAAAAGGACAUCACUGAACUUCAAGUGGUAUGUCCAGAACAAAGUUCAAGUGAGGUGACAUCAUCAAAAGAGGAGUAUGUUCCUGAUUCUGUAGAUGAUUCAGACAUCUCAUGGGAUGACAGAUGCACUCCACAGAAAUAUGGACUAGUCAUAGUCCAUAUUUCCAUGUUAGGACUUCUUAUAGAACAUAAAUUGUAUGUUUUUUGUAUGCGUAUGCCGUGGUCCUGAUAAAUAAAAUUGGCCCUGACAAUUACUGUUGGUGCCAUGUGCGGAGCCAAG
Poecilia reticulata (guppy) is the source of this 669-nucleotide long non-coding RNA. RefSeq lists it as uncharacterized. The record is from RefSeq and is a predicted model, not a curated record. NCBI's taxonomy places the organism in Eukaryota, Metazoa, Chordata, Actinopteri, Cyprinodontiformes, Poeciliidae.